This 265-nucleotide unclassified non-coding RNA is filed under the name Hevea brasiliensis (rubber tree). The record is from RNAcentral. Lineage: Eukaryota; Viridiplantae; Streptophyta; Magnoliopsida; Malpighiales; Euphorbiaceae.
CUACCCCCUCCAUCUAUGAAUUCAAUGCUCAGAAUUCCUUACAGAAAUGAGAAUGACCAUCCUGGUCCCUCAACUUUUCCUGAAGGUGAGAUGCGGUACAAUCAUGGUGCAAGAAAUGAAUCUUCUAUGCAGACAAGGUAUGAUAGCAGCCAUCAAGAGAAUGUCAGACGCACUGAAAGAAUCGAUGCCGAGCAAGAUCAUACUGAUAAUGAAGUGCACAAACUAGAUAGGGACAAAGCAAGAUGUGACUCACAGUCCUCGCUUU